Spinacia oleracea (spinach) is the source of this 95-nucleotide non-coding RNA. The record is from Rfam. NCBI's taxonomy places the organism in Eukaryota, Viridiplantae, Streptophyta, Magnoliopsida, Caryophyllales, Amaranthaceae.
UUGUGAUGCCAUGAUGACAAAUGUCUAAUCCCAGCUCUUUGAGAUCUUUUGUAGAUCCGGGAAAAUACGUAUGUUCAUUUUGUCUGAGCUUUGAA